AUGUGAGAUGUUAGUAACAUGAGAAAAUGGAUAUGGGGUGUAGGGAACCUCUGUGCAAUAUUUUAGCAAGUUUUUGUAAAUCAAUCCAAAAUUACUCAAAACAUUUAAAAAUCAUUAAAAAUAAAACCUCACAAGUUUAUUUUGAUCAUUGGCCAGAUUUCAGAAUUAAUCAAUUAUUUUACUCUAUAUUUCAGAUGAGAAAACUGAAGCAAUUUGAUUGUAAGCAUUUGUAUAGUUCCAAUAAUUUUGAGAAAUUGAAGUUUUCAAACUAUAAUUAUUAUAAAAUGUGAUAACAAUUUUCUUUGAAAUAUCUCAGAAUUAACCCUGAUUUAGAUUCUGUAGUUAUAGCUGAAGAAUAGCAAUAUAAUAAUUGUAGCUAAUUACAAGUGCUUAUUUUUAAAACCCUUAAAAUGGUAAUGAAAAAUGGAGUGAUUUACAAAGUCUGCUCCCAUUCAUAGUAUUAAAGUUUGUUGCUGGAAUAUUUUUCUGUGUCAUGACAGCACUCAUGCAGUAUGUACAAAGUUAAUAAGAAAUAUGCAUUCUUAAAAAUAAAAAAUUAUUUCUCACUUCCUCUUUUCUCUUUCAGUCCCCUCCCUUAAGUAUUUCUUUAAAGCAUUCAACCUUUCUUCACACUCAUAUUCUGGUCAUUUCAUAGAAGAGAAUCACUUCCAUGCAAAAGAAGUAAAGUCCCACCCAGCACACUUAGCAGCAUAGUGUGUUAUCACAUGGUUUUUUGUUUGCUUUUUGCUGUAUCUUCUAAAAUGUCUCCCACUAUAUUUAACCACCUAACUGGGCAGCUAUCUCCAAUGAAAUGAGCCUUGGAAUUUCAUUCUGGUACUUCCACUUAAUCGGUGUGUGAGAACUUAAGUAUCUAUCUCACACAACUUAUCAAUGCUUCACUUUCCAACUUGCAGUUGGCAAUAGGAUACAUACUUUACAGAGUUGUUGUAGAGAUUAAAUGAGGUGAUAUGUAAGAGAAUUUUCUAAGUCUCUGGUAUUCUGCGGAUAUAAAUCACCCAGUGGCCUUUCUGGAAAUACUUUCCACUUUCUAAGGAAUCCUAUACAUGAGAAAAAAAAAAUGUAUUCAGUUCUCAUUUAUCCUCAGUAGUCAAAUCAGUUUCUCCUAGGGACUAAGCCACGCCUGGAUAAAGCCAACUCUAGAUUAAGUGAAGCCAGCAUUCGUCUUGUAGGUUCUUGCUACUAAAGUUCUAAAUGUUAUUCUUCCCCAAUAUAGACAUGGUGAAAAUGAAGUAUAGUCUGUUCAGCUACCACUUUCCUUGCACCUGUUUUAAUUUAAUUCUUGAAAAACAACUUCCUUGUAUGUACUUUCCAUAGACUCUAAUGCCAGAGUAAAAUAAAAGAAUAAUAUGAUACUGCACAACCACAAUCAGCUAAUACAAAGCAUCGUUAUUCAACUGUGUUGACACUAAGUUUUGGAAAUUCCCAGUUUAGUGAGCUGGCCUGAAAAAUUUGGUGCCAUUCCCUACCUUUCCCACCAAUGCUUUUGCAUGAGUUUUAUAGCCCAGGGGUUAGAGCCUUUUUUUUUUUUUUAACUGCUGACUGCUAAUUAAACAUCUACUAUCAUACUACCAUACAUGCUGGAUUUCCAUGACACAUAGAGAGAGAGAGAGAUCCUGUGGGUCUCCUUAGAGAAGGCACCUGAAGUUUUCAGAAACAUAGCGGAUACCAAAUACCAACUACAUACAUUCAUUCACUUAUAAACAUCUGCUGAAUGUAUAUAAAGAUGAUAAGAUAUUGGUCUUUGCCUUCAAAUAGCCCAUAGUUUAUUGAGUGGGAGGAAGGGAAAGAAAGAGGAAUGGAAAGAAGAGAAUAAGGGGAGAAAGAAAAAAAGCAGACAGAGGAAAGAGCAAAUUAUUGUUAUAGAGGGAGGAAAAGCCAGUAGUUAAUCACAGAGCAAUAUAGGACUAGAACCUAAAAAAUAUCUGAGAAGGCUUUCUUGAGAAAAUGACAUUUGAGCAGAAUUUUAUAGCUAAUUUAUUUUCAAGCUAACCAAAGCUACCAUUAGAACUUAAUCUCCAUGAGAAAAGGGACUUUGGUUUUUAUAUUUACUGCAUAUCUUCAGUGCCUAGAAAACUAGCUGGUUCAUAGUAUGCUAAAAAUCUUGUGUUAAAUGGAUGAAUAAAUGAGUGUCUGCUUAGCACCAGAAGCCCUUGAAUGAAAAUACUUACUCCCUACAAAGCUGAAUCAUAUCUAAAUAUAUGUGACAGCUCCUGACUCUACUGUUUUUCACAUUUCAAAUAUAGCUAGAACCAGGCUGAUUAGGUAGGUGACUCCAGUUACAUAUAACAAAUUGCCAUGGGGUAUUGAAGAAUUUUAGGAAACAGAAGAAAUCUGAUAAUAAGAAAGAAAACUUCUACAAAAUAGUCUGAAGUUGAGGAAAAGGAGAGUAGACAACUAAAAUUGCCCUCAAACACAUACAUCUACAGGACCUGUUGGGCUGGGCCAAAAGUCAGCAGAAUCUAUAUGAUAAAAACUCAUACUUCUUGGAUCAGAUGAACAGAAAUGGAAUGAAAUAAAAACAGAAACAGGCUGCAUAUGCUCAAUGGCCUUUUUGAGAUACAGUCUGAACUGACUACAUUCCAUUGGACCACAUUCCACAUAAAAUCUUCACUCCAGCAAAACCAUUCUUCAAACUACGGACAUGUGCUGUAUGGGAGAUAUUAUAUUAAAAAUACAGAUGAUUAUGGAAUAUACUAUUCCCCAUUUUCUUUCUUUUUUUUUCCCAACCAUCAUUGAAGUGUUCACCCCACUGGAAAGCAUUUCUUCCCUCCUGCAUCUGUGUUUCUUUGGUCAGGUUUUUCACUUAACAAUAUAGUCUGUACUUAUUUUUGUACAUCUUAGAUUCCUAGUAGAAUGUGAGUUCCUUGUGCACAUAAACUGUGUCUUUCCAAUCUUGUAUCUGACCCCGUAUCUUCUAACUUCCCCUAUAUACUUAAAGAAACGUAUACAUAAACAUUUGUUGAGUGAACUCAGAAAAUUAUAACCUGAUAUUUUCAGGGGAAAGACUUCCCGUUGUGGUUCAGCGGUAACAAACCCAACUAGUAUCCAUGAGGACGUGGGUUGGAUCCCUGGCCUUGCCAAUGGGUUAAGGAUACAGUGUUGCUGUGAGCUGUGGUGCAGGUCUCAGACACUGCUGGGAUCUGGCGUUGCUGUGGAUGUGGUAUAGGAUGGCAGCCACAGCUCAGAUUUAACCCCUAUCCUAGGAACUUCCAUAUGCCAUGGGG
This 3245-nucleotide long non-coding RNA is filed under the name Sus scrofa (pig). RNAcentral describes it as "lncRNA (ENSSSCG00015024487.1)". Lineage: Eukaryota; Metazoa; Chordata; Mammalia; Artiodactyla; Suidae. The record is from RNAcentral.